Molecule: transfer RNA, 71 nt
Filed under: Paramuricea clavata
Lineage: Eukaryota; Metazoa; Cnidaria; Anthozoa; Malacalcyonacea; Plexauridae
Rfam family: tRNA
About the family: Transfer RNA (tRNA) molecules are approximately 80 nucleotides in length. Their secondary structure includes four short double-helical elements and three loops (D, anti-codon, and T loops). Further hydrogen bonds mediate the characteristic L-shaped molecular structure. tRNAs have two regions of fundamental functional importance: the anti-codon, which is responsible for specific mRNA codon recognition, and the 3' end, to which the tRNAs corresponding amino acid is attached (by aminoacyl-tRNA synthetases). tRNAs cope with the degeneracy of the genetic code in two manners: having more than one tRNA (with a specific anti-codon) for a particular amino acid; and 'wobble' base-pairing, i.e. permitting non-standard base-pairing at the 3rd anti-codon position.
Source: Rfam by way of RNAcentral
GACUCGAUAGCUCAAUGGAAGAGCGGCGAUCUAGAUACCCGAAGAUGCGAGUUCAAAUCCCGCUCGAGCCA